This 582-nucleotide long non-coding RNA is filed under the name Homo sapiens (human). Its description in RNAcentral is "non-protein coding LINC02380:8". The record is from RNAcentral. Lineage: Eukaryota; Metazoa; Chordata; Mammalia; Primates; Hominidae.
AGAAGAGCCAAUAUUUCAGUUUGAGUCUGAAGGCAGGAAAAGACUGAUGUCCCAUCUCAAAGCAGUCAGGCAGAGGGAGUUCCCUCUUGUUCUCACUCAAGGAAGGAUGGCGCAGUGCUCCCGCUGUUCCGAGGCUCAGCUACCCUGAGGGAGGCAGGGAAUUUUGAUCAGCUUCUGAAGAAUCACCUCAUCUCUCCCCGCAGAGAGCACAGAGCACAGGACUUCACGUUAUGUCAACAUCUCUUGCAAAAGCCCAGCUCCUAGAGAGCAGGAGCCUUCCCAGACUGUGUCAAAUUACCUCGGGGAUGGAGAGACUUACAUGGCAUUAAUAGAAAUCAAAUGGCAGAGCUCGGGUUUCUGGUAAGAGCGGGUCCUGGCUCCUUCCUUACAUGAAGACCUGUCCAACACUGCUUGCUAUCUCCUCCUGUGCCAUCUGAAAUCUGUGCCUCAAACCGACCAGCAGCCUUCUAAAUCUCUUUAUUCUAAAUUUGGCGCAAACUUCUUUCAUCUGUGACUUUUGGAGUCUUCUGCUGCAUCACCCCAUGAUCCAACUUGGAGUUGGGCUCUGUUUCAUUGACUUAC